GACGAACCGUGCGAACGUUGUUCGGAAUCACUGGGCUUAAAGGGCGCGUAGGCGGCCGGGUUGGUCGUGGGUGAAAUCCCCCAGCUUAACUGGGGAACUGCCUGCGAUACUGCCUGGCUCGAGGGAGGAAGGGGCGGUCGGAACUGUCGGUGGAGCGGUGAAAUGCGUUGAUAUCGACAGGAACGCCGGUGGCGAAAGCGGACCGCUGGCCCUCUUCUGACGCUGAGGCGCGAAAGCCAGGGGAGCGAACGGG
Molecule: ribosomal RNA, 253 nt
Filed under: uncultured bacterium
Lineage: Bacteria
Description: partial 16S ribosomal RNA
Rfam family: Bacterial small subunit ribosomal RNA
Source: RNAcentral